AACGAACGCUGGCGGCAUGCCUAACACAUGCAAGUCGAACGGUAACAGGCCCUUCGGGGUGCUGACGAGUGGCGGAUGGGUGAGUAAUACUUAGGAAUCUACCCUGUAGUGGGGGACAACCCGGGGAAACUCGGGCUAAUACCGCAUACGCUCUACGGAGGAAAGCGGGGGACCGCAAGGCCUCGCGCUAUUGGAUGAGCCUAAGCCCGAUUAGCUAGUUGGUGGGGUAAUAGCCUACCAAGGCAAUGAUCGGUAGCUGGUCUGAGAGGACGACCAGCCACACUGGGACUGAGACACGGCCCAGACUCCUACGGGAGGCAGCAGUGGGGAAUAUUGGACAAUGGGCGAAAGCCUGAUCCAGCGAUGCCGCGUGUGUGAAGAAGG
RNAcentral lists this ribosomal RNA (384 nucleotides) under uncultured bacterium. RNAcentral describes it as "bacterial SSU rRNA". It matches the Rfam family "Bacterial small subunit ribosomal RNA", at positions 29 to 414 of the family's 1533-position model. The record is from RNAcentral.